GGUUAAGUUAGAAAGGGCGCACGGUGGAUGCCUUGGCACUAGGAGCCGAAGAAGGACGGGACUAACACCGAUAUGCUUUGGGGAGCUGUACGUAAGCGUUGAUCCAGAGAUUUCCGAAUGGGGGAACCCACUAUCUUUAGUCGGAUAGUAUCCUUACGUGAAUACAUAGCGUGAGGAAGGCAGACCCAGGGAACUGAAACAUCUAAGUACCUGGAGGAAGAGAAAGAAAAAUCGAUUUCCUGAGUAGCGGCGAGCGAAACGGAAAGAGCCCAAACCAAGAAGCUUGCUUCUUGGGGUUGUAGGACACUCUAUACGGAGUUACAAAAGAAAGUUAUAAAUGAAGCGGUCUGGAAAGGCCCGCCAAAGACGGUAACAGCCCGGUAGUUGAAAUGGCUUUCCCUCCAGAGUGGAUCCUGAGUACGGCGGAACACGUGAAAUUCCGUCGGAAUCCGGGAGGACCAUCUCCCAAGGCUAAAUACUCCCUAGUGACCGAUAGUGAACCAGUACCGUGAGGGAAAGGUGAAAAGCACCCCGGAAGGGGAGUGAAACAGUUCCUGAAACCGUGUGCCUACAAGUAGUUAGAGCCCGUUAAUGGGUGAUAGCGUGCCUUUUGUAGAAUGAACCGGCGAGUUACGAUUUGUUGCAAGGUUAAGCGGAAAAAGCGGAGCCGUAGCGAAAGCGAGUCUGAAUAGGGCGCAUAAGUAACAGGUCGUAGACCCGAAACCAGGUGAUCUACCCAUGUCCAGGAUGAAGGUAAGGUAAUACUUACUGGAGGUCCGAACCCACGCACGUUGAAAAGUGCGGGGAUGAGGUGUGGGUAGCGGAGAAAUUCCAAUCGAACUUGGAGAUAGCUGGUUCUCUCCGAAAUAGCUUUAGGGCUAGCCUCGAGGUAAAGAGUCAUGGAGGUAGAGCACUGUUUGGACUAGGGGCCCUUCUCGGGUUACCGAAUUCAGAUAAACUCCGAAUGCCAUGUACUUAUACUCGGGAGUCAGACUGCGAGUGAUAAGAUCCGUAGUCGAAAGGGAAACAGCCCAGACCACCAGUUAAGGUCCCCAAAUAUAUGUUAAGUGGAAAAGGAUGUGGGGUUGCUUAGACAACCAGGAUGUUGGCUUAGAAGCAGCCACCAUUGAAAGAGUGCGUAAUAGCUCACUGGUCGAGUGACCCCGCGCCGAAAAUGUACCGGGGCUAAACAUAUUACCGAAACUGUGGAUGAACCUCUUUAGAGGUUCGUGGUAGGAGAGCGUUCUAAGGGCGGUGAAGUCAGACCGGAAGGACUGGUGGAGCGCUUAGAAGUGAGAAUGCCGGUAUGAGUAGCGAAAGAAGGGUGAGAAUCCCUUCCACCGAAUAUCUAAGGUUUCCUGAGGAAGGCUCGUCCGCUCAGGGUUAGUCGGGACCUAAGCCGAGGCCGAUAGGCGUAGGCGAUGGACAACAGGUAGAGAUUCCUGUACCAGUGCUAAUUGUUUAACCGAUGGGGUGACACAGAAGGAUAGGGAAUCGCACGAAUGGAAAUGUGCGUCCAAGCAGUGAGUGUGAGAAGUAGGCAAAUCCGCUUCUCGCGAAGCAUGAGCUGUGAUGGGGAAGGAAAUUAAGUACGGAAGUUCCUGAUUUCACGCUGUCAAGAAAAGCCUCUAGGAAGAGUAGUACUGCCCGUACCGCAAACCGACACAGGUAGAUGAGGAGAGAAUCCUAAGGUGAGCGAGAGAACUCUCGUUAAGGAACUCGGCAAAAUGACCCCGUAACUUCGGGAGAAGGGGUGCUCUAUUAGGGUGCAAGCCCGAGAGAGCCGCAGUGAAUAGGCCCAGGCGACUGUUUAGCAAAAACACAGGUCUCUGCAAAACCGUAAGGUGACGUAUAGGGGCUGACGCCUGCCCGGUGCUGGAAGGUUAAGAGGAGUGCUUAGCUUCGGCGAAGGUACG
This 1916-nucleotide ribosomal RNA is filed under the name Listeria monocytogenes. RNAcentral's name for it is "partial 23S ribosomal RNA". It matches the Rfam family "Bacterial large subunit ribosomal RNA", at positions 1 to 1909 of the family's 2925-position model. Lineage: Bacteria; Bacillati; Bacillota; Bacilli; Caryophanales; Listeriaceae. The record is from RNAcentral.